GUACUCACUUUGGGGGCCCAUAUACUAAAACUAGAACAAUACAGAGAAGAGCCACGUGACCCCUGCACAAGGAGGACACGCAAAUUCCAUAUUUUUUGCAUGAUUUU
Molecule: small nuclear RNA, 107 nt
Filed under: Dasypus novemcinctus (nine-banded armadillo)
Lineage: Eukaryota; Metazoa; Chordata; Mammalia; Cingulata; Dasypodidae
Source: RNAcentral